AAACACUGGGCAACCUCUUGGCUCAGAUGUCUUUUCUGAUCCAGUCUAGCCUGGAUUUGUCCCGUGCCAUGCUAAGUCACUUCAGUCAUGAGGACUCUUUGCGACCCUAUGGACUGUAGCCCUCCAGGCUCCCCUGUCUUUGGGGAUUCUCCAGGCAAGAAUACUGGGGUGACUUUCAUUAGGUGCUGGGUUGGAAGAGUCAAAUUGAUUAGGACUUCCAGUGAUGAGUGAUCACCAGCUUCCUUACCAGAAGCCCAGUCUUCAUUAGCAACCAAAGUCUGCAUGGCUAAGAUGAGCCUUCAUGAAAUGGAACAGAACCAUAUGGUCCUUGCUGCCGCCCCCAACCCCCAUCAUGUCCUCUGCCUGCCUUUUGCCUGUGGAAAACUGUAGUCAAAGAAUAAGUUUAAUCAGAGAAGUGAGAAAUGCUGAAACAAAGGAAAACAGUCUAAGGAGACUAAACAAUAAUACUAUAGUCAUUAAGCAUGGUCAAGGACCUUUAGUUCUUUCUCAAGGGCUAUAGAUAAUAUUCUGAGGCAUAUCCUGUGAGCUCUCUUAUAGAGACUAAAAUCCCGGGUGGAAAAGUUAACCACAUGAUGACCAGACUGUACCCAGGACAUGAGCUACCACAAUUCUGAGAACUGACCACAAAGAAUUGGGAACAAGUGCACCCUGGAAAUGAAGAUUAACUGUACCUAAAACAACCAAGAUGAUGCUGUUCAGACCACCGAUGACCAAUUUGAAGAUGACUGUUAGAAAUGACUAUGCUAUUUCUGCAUGUAGGCCCCCUGCCCCAGACUGUCUAUAAAUGCUCUUACCCCUGCUUAUCAGGGGCGGGGAGUCUGCCUUUGGACAGAUGUCCACCACUCUCCCCGCCAAGUGGCAGGCCUCUAAAAUGAAGCAAACUUUCCUUUCCACCAACCUGGCCUGCUCAUUGGCUUUUGAGCAGCAAGGAGCCAGACCCCCCAUGCAUACCUUUUGGUAACAUUCAUAGCUUUACACUUAACAUACGGUAUGGGGGCAGGAAGACACACAUUCUUGCUUGGGGUAAGUGGGGCAACACAAAAAUAUCUCCCAGUCAGUCGCCAUCAGUCUCAGGAUUUCUUUCAUUUUGGGCUUGUAGCAGCCCUGUCUCUGUUCCUCCGACCUCUUCCUUAUAGGAGGGAAUUGGAUUUCUCCCCAGGCCCUUUCCUUGAGACUGGCUUUUUGGGCUUU
This is a long non-coding RNA of Bos taurus (domestic cattle), 1212 nucleotides long. NCBI's taxonomy places the organism in Eukaryota, Metazoa, Chordata, Mammalia, Artiodactyla, Bovidae. The record is from Ensembl.